Molecule: long non-coding RNA, 1108 nt
Organism: Suricata suricatta (meerkat)
Lineage: Eukaryota; Metazoa; Chordata; Mammalia; Carnivora; Herpestidae
Exons: 7
Source: RefSeq, a predicted model, not a curated record
CCCGCCUGCAAGGCAAGAGGGCCACACACCGGAUCCUGCUGUCCCCCCAGCCCCCGGAAUCGCAGCAGCCUAAACAAGACAACAGAGCUUGCCGAGGGGGAGCGCUCCCCCUCCCCGGGGGUGUCCCUGGACUCAGGGUACCUGCUGGGGGGAGGGGAUACAGCACCCUGGAGACCCUCUCGCCAACCUGAACGGAUUCAGAAUCGCUGAUGGAAGACAGGAGUCGGGAGCUGUGUUUUCCGUGGGGAGCUGUCAAGAGAGGGGAGCUUGUGCGACUAUCUCCUGAUGCUCAUUAGAUAAGGAAGUUUACUACCACCAGUUAAUCACCAAGACAUCUUUCCUGCCUUCAAUUACUGCAGACGGACACAGAAGAAAUGAAGCAACAGGGGUUCCUAAGAGCACCCGUGUCUGCGGCACGAAGCCUUGUCCCCACCAUCCUGGAGGAGGAGCCGCGUCCCUGCCUGGGGCAUGCUGUAGGCGUCACAGUUAUUCGGCCCUGAACGGAGCCUGUCCACGCGACCAAGAAAGCAGGAGGGAAGGAAUAAAUGUGAGUCAAGAAGAUCGAGAAGAUCUUGCAUCCCAGGCAGCCGGUACUACCCCUCGCCUGCAUUUAGUCCUAGCACUAGAACUGCAGUCACGCUAACACUUCGGAAGCUGCUUCAAGAAUUGCGGUUGGCGUCCUCCCCUGUCGCCCAGAGCCCAAAUGGCGCACAGUGUGACUGACGGUCUAGCUGCCCUGUGUGGUCAAGGCUGAAGGCCACCAGGCCAGGUCACGAUUCGGGUGUACCAUCUGAGGAGGAGGAUUCUAAGUAUUCAUUGUCAGCAUGUGUCACUGUCCAUCAUCGUGCACCGUGAGCCUGGCUGCCCUUUUGGAAUGGAGCCGUCAGAGCAGGGCCUGAGCUCUGGGGUCCCCAGCGGCUCCAGCUCCUGGUUGGUGUUGUUCACCGCUGCAUGCCCAGUGCCUGCCCGGAGUCUAGCUGACGGAGAGGCCCGAGCAGUUGUGCUGAAUGAGGAGCACGUGAGGCAUGUGGACGUUUUCUAAGCUGGAAAGAACCGUAUAAAUACAAGCUACAUACUACACCUUAGAUUUAUGGGGCCACACCUUGAA